UCCUGGGCUACACACACGCUACAAUGGGUGAUACAACAGGUUGCAAUAGAGUAAUCUGGAGCCAAUCCCUAAAAUACAUCCUCAGUACGGAUUGCAGGCUGCAACUGCCUGCAUGAAGUUGGAGUUGCUAGUAACGCAGGUCAGCACACUGCGUUGAAUACGUUCUCGGGCCUU
This 174-nucleotide ribosomal RNA is filed under the name uncultured Chloroflexota bacterium. Its description in RNAcentral is "uncultured Chloroflexi bacterium partial 16S ribosomal RNA". It matches the Rfam family "Bacterial small subunit ribosomal RNA", at positions 1207 to 1382 of the family's 1533-position model. The record is from RNAcentral. Lineage: Bacteria; Bacillati; Chloroflexota.